AGCUAAGAAUCUUCCGCAAUGGACGCGAGUCUGACGGAGCGACGCCGCGUGAACGAUGAAGGCCGUGAGGUUGUAAAGUUCUUUUCCAGGGGAGGAAUAAGGAUGGCAGGGAAUGGCCGUCUGAUGACGUGAACCUGGGAAUAAGCCCCGGCUAACUACGUGCCAGCAGCCGCGGUAACACGUAGGGGGCGAGCGUUGUUCGGAAUUAUUGGGCGUAAAGGGUGCGCAGGCGGCAUGCCAAGUCUGGUGUGAAAGGCCCCGGCUCAACCGGGGAAACGCACUGGAAACUGGCGUGCUAGAGUACAGGAGGGGGAGUUGGAAUUCCAGGUGUAGGGGUGAAAUCUGUAGAUAUCUGGAAGAACACCAGUGGCGAAGGCGACUCUCUGGGUUAACACUGACGCUGAGGUACGAAAGCUGGGGGAGCGAACGGGAUUAGAUACCCCGGUAGUCCCAGCCGUAAACGAUGGAUACUAGGUGUUGGAGGUUCGAAUCCUUCAGUGCCGGAGUUAACGCAUUAAGUAUCCCGCCUGGGGAUUACGAUCGCAAGAUUG
This 551-nucleotide ribosomal RNA is filed under the name uncultured bacterium. RNAcentral's name for it is "bacterial SSU rRNA". It matches the Rfam family "Bacterial small subunit ribosomal RNA", at positions 353 to 896 of the family's 1533-position model. The record is from RNAcentral.